RNAcentral lists this ribosomal RNA (246 nucleotides) under uncultured Nitzschia. Its description in RNAcentral is "partial Bacterial small subunit ribosomal RNA". It matches the Rfam family "Bacterial small subunit ribosomal RNA", at positions 1184 to 1429 of the family's 1533-position model. Lineage: Eukaryota; Bacillariophyta; Bacillariophyceae; Bacillariales; Bacillariaceae. The record is from RNAcentral.
GUCAAAUCAUCAUGCCCCUUAUGAUUUGGGCUACACACGUGCUACAAUGGACAAUACAAAGGGUAGCGAAACCGCGAGGUCAAGCAAAUCCCAUAAAGUUGUUCUCAGUUCGGAUUGUAGUCUGCAACUCGACUACAUGAAGCUGGAAUCGCUAGUAAUCGUAGAUCAGCAUGCUACGGUGAAUACGUUCCCGGGUCUUGUACACACCGCCCGUCACACCACGAGAGUUUGUAACACCCGAAGCCG